ACAGAUCCCACUGCGGCCGGCGGACAUGGAGGGGUCUUUACUGAGGGGGGAGGGGCGGGGGGCGCCCCCCACGGAGGUUUUGGGGUCGUUUUCCCCAAUUUUGGUCCGGGAUGGAUUUGGGGGUGGGGGGGGAGGGGGGCUGGAAUGGAUUCCCAGGGUCUGGGAUGGUUUCUUGGAGGUCUGGAAUGGAUUUGGGGGGGUCCGGAAUGGAUUCUGGGGCUCAGGAAUGGAUUUCAGGGGGUCCGGAAUGGAUUUGGGGAGUCCGGAAUGGAUUUGGGGAGUCCGGAAUGGAUUUGGGGAGUCCGGAAUGGAUUUGGGAGGGUCUGGAAUGGAUUCCUGAGGUCAGGAAUGGAUUCCGGGUGGUCAGGAAUGGAUUUUCGGGGGUCCGGAAUGAAUUUGGGGUGUCAGGAACGGAUUCCAAAGGUCCGGAAUGGAUUGGAGGGGGGCUGGAAUGGAUUUGGGGGUCCCGGGUCCCCCCAAAACCGCGGGCACGGAAACGUCCCCGAGAGUCCUUCCCCCUCCUGCCCCUCCGGCCCGGGGGGGCUCGGCCCCGGUUCCGGGGGGUCCCGGUCCCGGUUCUGGAGGCUCCUGGUUCUGGUCCUGGACGUUUCCCGGUCCUGGUUCCAGUCCCGGUCUGCUUCCAGAGGAAUCCAGUUCCAGUUAUUUCCCAGUCCUGAUUCCAGUUCCGGAGUUUUCCUGGUCCCAGUCCAGGUCCGAGUUCCAGUUCCGGAGUUUUCUUGGUCCCAGUUCUGGAUCCAGAGUUUCCCUGGUCCCGGUCCCAUCCAGUCCCAGUCCCGGUUCCAGUUCUGGUUCUGGUUGUGUCCCGGUCCCGGUUCCAGUUCCAGUUCCAGAGUUUCCCAGUCCAGGUCCCAGUUCUGGUUCCGGAUUUUCCCUGGUCCUGGACCCGGUUCCAGCUCCAGUUCGGAUUUUCCCUGAUCCUGGUUCCAAUCCUGGUUCCGGUUCCAAUCCCGGUCCCAGUUCCAGUCCUGGUUCUGGUUCUUUCCCAGUCCCGGUCCCGGUUCCAGUCCCGGUUCUGGUUCUUUCCCAGUCCCGGUUCCGGUUCCAGUUCCGGAUUUUCCCUGGUCCUGAUCCCAAUCCCGGUCCCGGUUCCAGUCCUGGUUCUGGUUCUUUCCCAGUCCCGGUCCCGGUUCCAGUCCUGGUUCUGGCUCUUUCCCAGUCCCGGUCCCGGUUCCAGUUCCGGAUUUUCCCCGGUCCCGCUCCCUUUCAGCCCAGGUGCAGCCGCUGGUGCCGGAGGAGGGCGGAGCUUCCCCCGAAGCCCCGCCCACAAUCCCCGCAGGUGAGGGGCGUGUCACCGUCAGGUGUGUCACGGGUGAGGGGCGUGGCACAGGUGAGGGGCGUGGGCGUGUCACAGGUGAGGGGCGUGGCACAGGUGAGGGCCGUGGGCGUGUCACAGGUGAGGGGCGUGGCACAGGUGAGGGGCGUGGCACAGGUGAGGGGCGUGGCACAGGUGAGGGCUGUGGCACCGCUGCCAGGUGUGUCCCAGGUGAAGGCCGUGGGCGUGGCACAGGUGAGGGGCGUGUCACAGGUGAGGGGCGUGUCACGGGCGAGGGGCGUGGCACCGCUGCCAGGCGUGUCCCAGGUGAGGCCCGUGUCCGGGGCGCGUCCGCUCAGGUGUGCCGGGGGGGCGUGUCCCUGGCCCAGCCCCGCCCCGCAGCGGGCGCAGCCCCGCCCCGGCCCCGCCUUCCUCCUCCUCCUCCUCCUCCCGCCGCCGCCCGGCUCCUCCCCGUGGGCGUGGCGGUGCUUGAGGAAGGCGGAGCUGUAGCUGAAGCCCCGCCCACACUCCGCACAGGUGAAGCGCCGGCGGCUCAGGUGCGCGCCCCGCCCGCGGCCCCGCCCGCGCUGGCCACGCCCCCUGCCCGAG
This 1882-nucleotide long non-coding RNA is filed under the name Lonchura striata (white-rumped munia). RNAcentral describes it as "domestica (Bengalese finch) lncRNA (ENSLSDG00000003311.1)". The record is from RNAcentral. Lineage: Eukaryota; Metazoa; Chordata; Aves; Passeriformes; Estrildidae.